AAUACUAGCCAAUCGAAAUCAUCCACGUUAGAAAACGUGCAUAUAUAAAAUGUCUAUUCAAUGUACGGUCAUCAUUUAAACUACUCGUGUAUCUGUAAGACAUACAUCAUUAUUUACUAAGCUGAUAAAAUGAAGAUCGCAUUUCUUCUUCUUCUGGUCUGUAUGGCAAAUCUCUUUGUUGUAUCAGACAGUUGUUGUAAGCCGAGUGGAAGCUGUUUAAAUCAUGGUGAUUGCUGCGGUUCAGCUAUUUGCGUCGUAAAUAGGCUCGGAAAAAAAGAAUGUACAUAUGUCUAGCGCACAUGUUGGAAAUCGAAAAGUAACGUUUCUCCCGUUGAUAAAACACAAUGAAUAAACUAAACUUCUAGAAAAAAUAAACAUCUGGCAUUGACAA
Molecule: long non-coding RNA, 391 nt
Organism: Physella acuta
Lineage: Eukaryota; Metazoa; Mollusca; Gastropoda; Physidae
Source: RefSeq, a predicted model, not a curated record